RNAcentral lists this unclassified non-coding RNA (250 nucleotides) under plant metagenome. RNAcentral describes it as "partial contains small subunit ribosomal RNA, internal transcribed spacer 1, and 5.8S ribosomal RNA". The record is from RNAcentral.
GUAGGUGAACCUGCGGAAGGAUCAUUAUCAUUUUGAUUCUUUAUCCUAAACAAACCGUGAACUGUUCUUCUUUGUUUGUUCUUUACUGAGCGAACAGAGAGCCUUGAGUGCUCAAUUGGAUUAGAGUUUAGGGAUUCAUUUCUCUUUGUUCUUUUCUUUCUGAGUGCUUUUUACCAAUCGAACCCCAAAGAGCCAACUUAAGUCUUACUUAUUUAAAUUGAUUAACUUCUUUUUAAUCUGGAAGAUUUAU